AAGUCGUAAAAGGUUUCCGUAGGUGAACCUGCGGAAGGAUCAUUAACACGUAUCCAACGUUAAAACAACCCCGUGAACUUUCAGCUUGCUCCUGUAGCCCGUGAAAGCAGCAAUCCCUGGUAAAUCAUUGUUGACCAGCUUUUGAGUCAGGGACCUCACCUGGCAUCCCCAAGUAAUCAGUGUUCUGAAAGUGUCAUUGAUUGUGUAAGGAUGGCGCAGUCACGAUCGCUGUAGGGUCACCGGCUCUGCUCCUUUACGCAACUACAGUCUAACUUCGCCGCGCGCGAAAUUCGCACCAAAAACCGAACAACUGUUAACAAUGGAUAUCUUGGUUCUC
This 337-nucleotide unclassified non-coding RNA is filed under the name fungal sp. RNAcentral describes it as "partial internal transcribed spacer region". The stretch from base 1 to 45 matches the Rfam family "Eukaryotic small subunit ribosomal RNA", at positions 1786 to 1831 of the family's 1831-position model. The record is from RNAcentral. Lineage: Eukaryota; Fungi.